This is a long non-coding RNA of Piliocolobus tephrosceles (Ugandan red Colobus), 1171 nucleotides long. The record is from Ensembl. Lineage: Eukaryota; Metazoa; Chordata; Mammalia; Primates; Cercopithecidae.
UUUUGGGAUAUGCUAGCUGAUAAUAAUACAUUUAUCAGUGAACAAAAGCUAGCUGAAUGGAUUUACCAAAUAUUAGUUACUCUCGUUUUUUUAGAAUAUAAUCAAAUUUAUCAUGGUAAUGUAAAUGGGUAUUGUAUUUUAUUUAAAGACAUAGAAAAAAAAGAAAUAAGAUUAAGUUUAUUAAGUAAAAGCAAUAUAUAUGAUAACAUUGAUGAAAUAGGUGAUUUAUAUGGUUUAUAUUUUAUCAGAUCACCUCAAGAAAUUCAACAAUCAAAUUAUGAUAAAAACAAUGCUUGGUAUGUAGGUAUGUUAUUAUAUUUUAUUUUAUAUGGUUCUUUUCCGUUUAUGAAUAAUAAUGUUUUGAAGAGUUAUUCAAGCAUAAUAAGAAAUGAUAUUAAUUUAAAUUCUUUAAAAAUAAAAUAUAAUUAUUUAGGUGACAAUAUUUUUAAUUUUAUAAAAAGUGCACUUGAAAAAAAUUAUAACUUGAGGCUUUCCACAAAGGAGCUGAUAGAGCAUCCUUGGAUAAAGGAACGGUCAAACCAUAUAGAAUAUAACAUAAUAGACAAAAACACUAGAAAGUAAUUUUAAUUCUUUAUAUAAAUAUAUUUAUGUAAUUUUUUUUUUUUUUUUCCUACAUAAACGAUAUAUUUUUGCAUGUAUAUAUAUGUGUGUAUUUUGUAAAAUAUAAUUUUUUUUAAUUUUUAUAUCAGUAAAUCACAUCACAUAAAUGCCAACCAUUUUUGUGUAUCAACACGUGCUAUACUUGUUCUCAUGCAGUUUUUUUUUUUUUUUUUUUUUUUUCUUGCCAUUAUGUCAAAAUAUUGUGUAUAUUUUUUUUUUGUUUUUUUAACUACUCUAAAAUAAUGCAGAUCGGCAUAUAAUCAUAUAAAGAUGACAGAACAAAAUAUCAUUGAAUUACUGAAAAAAGCAAGCUCUGAGUGUAAACCUAUAGCUUAAUGAACUUGCAAAGUGACAUAUAAAGUAACCAUUCAAGCAUAGUUGUCAUUAUUUAUUAGAGGAUGUGAUUUAAACAUUUUAUAUAAUUAAUUGUCAAAAUUAUUGUUUUCGUCAUGCAAUUUCAAAAAUAUAUAUAUAUAUAUAUAUAUAUAUAUAACUUUAACGUACUUUUUAAUUGAAUAAAAUUAAGGAGUUUUUUUUUUUUUUUUUUUUU